Molecule: long non-coding RNA, 1067 nt
Filed under: Gallus gallus (chicken)
Lineage: Eukaryota; Metazoa; Chordata; Aves; Galliformes; Phasianidae
Description: lncRNA (ENSGALG00010020804.1)
Source: RNAcentral
CAUUUCCACUCAGGAUAAUGACCUCAGUUUUCCUGGGAGGGAGUGGUAUGAUUGUCAUGACAAUGUCAUGUGAUGGUAGAAUUUCUUCAUUGACGAAUCUAUAGUAGUUGUGUAUACUUUAUUUACCCAUCUUUAUGUUCCUACCGAAAACUAAAGGGUUUCUUUGUUGUUCAUCUCCCUACUGAGAUCUCAGUACUCCCGGUGCAGAAUUGGCUCUUGCAAACUGAAAUCCUCAGUGCUGUUUAUACCACAGUCAGUGGUGUGUCCGUAGCAAAAGGUGUUCGUUUGUGGUAUAAACAGCACUGCAGGCCCACGUGGUUUAUAACAGCCAGCUUCCAAUGGUUUCAGUUAGCCAUUGGAUGUCCACACAAUCUAAUACAACCUGUGCUUAACAUGACUGUGUAUCAGUGUAGAAAAUGCAUGUGACAGACCAGCACAACCCACAGUUUUGCCGGUGUUCAGCUUCUGCCCAUGAGUCCAUCCAGUUGAGUGCUGGGCUGCUUUUAAGUAUUGGGGAUCUGUGUUUAGAAACAUCCCAACUAUUCCUGUCUAGUUCUAAUUCGACUGUGACUGUGCAUUGUCAUCCAUACAUAUUGAUAGGAGAGAGAUAUUUAGAAUUGCCUUGUGUAUUAUCUGGCAUUUAUUACAUCUUUCCAGGUCAACCAUCUUGCUGCCAGUCCAAAUUAUUGUACUUGGUCUCUUUAUGACAACCUUGGGCGUAACAAACUAUUGACUGUUCUUAGGCAGUGGGGAUAAAUAUUUCUUUCUUUCCCAUGACUUUUUGUGACUGACUUUGGCUGUAAAACUUCUUUGUUAAGCAAGAGGGUUUUUCUUCCUUUUUUUCCCCCUUCUUCCCCCUUUUUUUUUGUUGUUCUGAGAUGUGUAAUUCUUUUAUGGAGUUUUUGUUUUGUUUUAAUUUCGUAUUUUUUUUUUCUAACAUCGCUUCAUUAAACAAAUAUUUAAAAAUGUAAUAUUUGGACCAGAUGUUGUGAAUAAUAGUAGAUAAAGCUAUUUUAUUCUGUAUUUUUAAAGCUGUUCAGUAUAAAUAAACGCGGGCAUAGAUGCAA